Molecule: ribosomal RNA, 395 nt
Filed under: Leucophytia bidentata (two-toothed white snail)
Lineage: Eukaryota; Metazoa; Mollusca; Gastropoda; Ellobiida; Ellobiidae
Description: Auriculinella bidentata (two-toothed white snail) partial 16S ribosomal RNA
Rfam family: Bacterial large subunit ribosomal RNA
Source: RNAcentral
ACCCUGACUGUGCUAAGGUAGCGUAAUCAGUUGGCUUUUAAUUGGAGUCGAGAAUGAAGGGGUUUAUGGGGGAAGACUGUCUCGGUGUUUAUUGUGUUGAACUUCCUAACAGGGUGAAAAUGCCCUGCUGCAGAAAAAAGACGAGAAGACCCUUAGAGUCUUGAUAAAUUUACUGUUUUUGUUGUAUGUUGUUUUUGUUGGGGCGACAACGAGGCAUCAAACCCUCGAACCAUAGACAAAACUAGCCGCUAAUUAGAAGCAAGAAAAGACUACCUUAGGGAUAACAGCAUAAUUUUAAUAUAAGCUUGUGACCUCGAUGUUGGACUAGGAGCUUUACGACUAGCCGUCGAAAGANAUGGUUCUGUUCGAACCGGGACUCCUACGUGAUCUGAGUU